UGGGAUUUGAGUUACUAGUUAAAACUAUGU
RNAcentral lists this non-coding RNA (30 nucleotides) under Mus musculus (house mouse). Lineage: Eukaryota; Metazoa; Chordata; Mammalia; Rodentia; Muridae. The record is from RNAcentral.